GAAAUGCGAUAAGUAGUGUGAAUUGCAGAAUUCAGUGAAUCAUCGAAUCUUUGAACACACAUUGCGCCCCUCGGUAUUCCGUGGGGCAUGCCUGUUCGAGCGUCAUCUACACCCUCAAGCUCUGCUUGGUGUUGGGCGUCUGUCCCGCCUCCGCGCGCGGACUCGCCCCAAAUGCAUUGGCAGCGGUUCCUUGCCCCCCUCUUUGCGCAGCACAUUGCCAUUCGAGGCGGCGGCGGCCCGCGUCCAACAAGCUCAACCCCCCCGUCUUUGACCUCGGAUCAGGUAGGGAUACCCGCUGAACUUAAGC
RNAcentral lists this unclassified non-coding RNA (307 nucleotides) under plant metagenome. Its description in RNAcentral is "partial contains 5.8S ribosomal RNA, internal transcribed spacer 2, and large subunit ribosomal RNA". The stretch from base 1 to 105 matches the Rfam family "5.8S ribosomal RNA", at positions 50 to 154 of the family's 154-position model. The record is from RNAcentral.